UGCAGUCGAGCGGUAGAGAGAAGCUUGCUUCUCUUGAGAGCGGCGGACGGGUGAGUAAUGCCUAGGAAUCUGCCUGGUAGUGGGGGAUAACGUUCGGAAACGGACGCUAAUACCGCAUACGUCCUACGGGAGAAAGCAGGGGACCUUCGGGCCUUGCGCUAUCAGAUGAGCCUAGGUCGGAUUAGCUAGUUGGUGAGGUAAUGGCUCACCAAGGCGACGAUCCGUAACUGGUCUGAGAGGAUGAUCAGUCACACUGGAACUGAGACACGGUCCAGACUCCUACRGGAGGCAGCAGUGGGGAAUAUUGGACAAUGGGCGAAAGCCUGAUCCASCCAUGCCGCGUGUGUGAAGAAGGUCUUCGGAUUGUAAAGCWCUUUARGUUGGGAGGAAGGGUUGWAGAUUAAUACUCUGCWAUUUUGACGUUACCGACAGAAUAAGCACCGGCUAACUCUGUGCCAGCAGCCGCGGUAAUACAGAGGGUGCAAGCGUUAAUCGGAAUUACUGGGCGUAAAGCGCGCGUAGGUGGUUUGUUAAGUUGGAUGUGAAAUCCCCGGGCUCAACCUGGGAACUGCAUUCAAAACUGACUGACUAGAGUAUGGUAGAGGGUGGUGGAAUUUCCUGUGUAGCGGUGAAAUGCGUAGAUAUAGGAAGGAACACCAGUGGCGAAGGCGACCACCUGGACUAAUACUGACACUGAGGUGCGAAAGCGUGGGGAGCAAACAGGAUUAGAUACCCUGGUASUCCACGCCGUAAACGAUGUCAACUAGCCGUUGGAAGCCUUGAGCUUUUAGUGGCGCAGCUAACGCAUUAAGUUGACCGCCUGGGGAGUACGGCCGCAAGGUUAAAACUCAAAUGAAUUGACGGGGGCCCGCAMAGCGGUGGAGCAUGUGGUUUAAUUCGAA
RNAcentral lists this ribosomal RNA (902 nucleotides) under Pseudomonas lactis. RNAcentral describes it as "bacterial SSU rRNA". The record is from RNAcentral. Lineage: Bacteria; Pseudomonadati; Pseudomonadota; Gammaproteobacteria; Pseudomonadales; Pseudomonadaceae.